AGUUAGUUUUUUGGCUAUAUCCCUUUGUGUUUUUUUUAGUGGUUGCUCUAGGGAUUAUAAUACACAGGUCUAAGUUUUUACAGUCUAGCUAGAGUUAAUUUUUUUUUUUUACAGCUUCAGGUAAAACCUAGAAGGCUUGCAACCACAUAGGUCUCUUUACCCUCCCCCUUUAUCUUACGGUGUCACAUGUAUCGUAUUUACAUACACUGACAGCUUCCCAGACAAUGUUAAAUUGUUGCUUUCAGCCUUCAUACAUAUUUUAGAGAACUUAAAAAGAGAAAAAUAUCACUUAACCAGACAUUUAUCAUUUUUAUUGUGCUUCCUUCAUUCCUGAAAUUCCAAGUUUCCCUCUGGGAAUAUAUUCCUCCAGUGGAAACUUCCUUUAGCAAUUUCUCUUAGAGCAAACACACCCGCAGUGAAUUCUUUUGUUUUCCUUCACCUGAGAAUACCCUUAUUUUACCUUCACCCCUGAAGGAUGUUUUCACUGCAUAUAGAAUUCUGCAUUGGUAUUUCUUUCAGCCCUUUAAAGAUUUCACUCCACCGCUUUUAUGAAUUCUGACAAGGAAUCCUUUGUAUUCUCUAGCAUCUGUGGUAUUUGAUUAUUAUCCCCCUGCACAUAAUGUAUCAUUUUGCUACGGCUGCUUUCAAGACCUUAUCUUUGGUUUUUAGCAGUUUAAUUUUGAUGUGUAUAUGCGUGGGUUUAUUUAUUUUUUUGAGUUUACCUUGUUUGGGGCUCCCUGAACUUCUUGAAUCUCAAAAUUUAUGUCUUUCACUAAAUUUGAGGAGUUUUUAGUCAUUAUUUCUUCAAAUAUUUUGACUGUCACAUCUUUCUCCUCUUCUUAGGGACUCCAGUGAUACGGGUGUUGUCCCACAGGUCCCUGUGACUGUUUAUGUUUCUGCCCUUUUUCUGUCUGUUCUUCAGGUUGGAUCAUUCCUAUGGCUCCAUCUUCAAGUUCAGGGAACUUUUUCUGUCAUCUCCAUUCUGCUCUUGCGCCUCCCAAGUGCCUUGUUUCUUUCAGACAUUCUAUUUUUCAGUUCUAAAAUUUCCAUUUGGCCCUUUCUUAUAGUUUCUCUUUUUCUGCUGACAGUUUAUCUUUAUUUUCGUUUUAGAAGUGCUCACACUUACCUCGUGGAGGAAGGUUAUAAUGGCUGCUUCCUGUUGGUUUCAUUUUACGUUGCGUCAUUCUGUUUGGUUUCUUGCAUUUGGCCCCUUGGAUUUUCUGUUUCUGAUGCGCCUGCUUUGGGCUGCCCACCCCUCACUGCCCAGUACUGCAUUGGGCAGUGCUGCACUUGAUGAUGCCAUAUCUUGGGUUCUCAGCUAGGCUAUUAGAUCUCUGCUGAUUAGAGUAGGACCAUUGAUUCUCCUUCUUCAACAGUGUCUUUGAUCCUGCUGAACAAUUUGAAGUAAAUUGAAGUAAGCGGAUUCAUUGUAGAAAAUUCACAAGGCCAACCCAGCUACUGUAAUACUUUGUUUAUUACAAUAUGAUUAUUAUCUUGAAUAACUCUUUUCGUUCUAAGCAUCUGUGGGAUCUCAUGGGAAAGAAAUAUGGUGCACAUUCCCUACCACCCAGCAUUUUCAGCCCAAUUAAAAUUGCAGGCAGCCUUCAUGAAUAUCAUUGUGUGCUUUACAGAGACUCCACAGGUACCCAGCCCAGAUGGAAUUAACCCAUUAGUGUUGCUGUCAAUCACAGGAAGUUGACACAAAGUGUUUAUUAACAUUAUUGACCUAAAAAGAAGGAUCUGCCGUUCAUCUGCCAUGGUCACCUGCUUCAUUAACUUAUUGGCAGCAUUUAGCAAGGCUGGAAAAUUGAUUGGUUGAUUCAUUCAUUCAUUCCCUCCUUCAGCAGACAUUUUUGUUUUUUUUCUUUUUGCCAUGCUGUGCAGCAUGCAGGAUCUUAGUUCCCUGACCAGGGAUCGAACCUGCGCCCCCUGAAGUGGAAGCGCGUAGUCUUAACCACUAGACUGCUGGGGAAGUCCCAGCAGACAUCUUUGGAUCGUUCGUUAUGUGUCAGGCGGCAGCAGCAGAGGAUUCUGCUGGAGUGCAGCUGAGCCCUGGGUGCCCACGGAGUGAGGAGUUUGUUGAGGAGAAGCUGUGGAACGGCAGGUCUCCACUCUUUCUGCUGACGCAGAGAAGGGAGAGUGAGGCUCCAGUAGAACCGGUCCAGGAAGCCACAGGGGAGGGAGGGUCUUAGGACCCAUAUUUGCUGUAACAACAUCAGUAGGAGUUCAGUAACUCUUAAGUUCAAUAACUUAAGUUGAGCAAUACGGGAAAGCCGCAAUGUGCCACGCGUAUCAUCCAACAUUACCACAGAGGUCGGUACAACUAUGUUUGUUAUUUUACAGAUCAAGAAAUUGAAGCACAGAGAGCCUAAGUAGCUUGCCCAGCGUCUCCCAGUUACCAAGUGGAUGAUCUGCUCUGGAAGCUCAGACGCUGAACCACAGUGUUUUCUCUGUGUGAUCAGAGAACCAAGGACAUGGAUUAUGGUGAAAACAUACAUACAGAGUUUCUGAUAUUGAAAAUUGCAGUUCAUUCCUCAGCGUCUUCGGGAGGUGCUUAUGAGUGGUUGCCGUGAGCCAGGUGUGUCCUAAACACCAGGAAGAUGGUGGUGAACCAGAGCCUUGCUUCCAGGGAGCUCACAUUCUGCUGCAAGGAGGAUCCCAUCCAGGGCACCACGUGGCAUUUGGUCAUGUCCUGAGUCUCCUCUGGUUGGCGACAGUUUCUCAGCCUUCCUUUGUUUUUCAUGACCUUUCCAGCAUUGAGGAGUACCAGUCAGGUAUUUCACAGAAUGUUCCUCAAUUUGGAGUUGUCUGAUGUUUUGUUUAUGACUGGACUGGAGCCAUAGGUCUCUGGGGAGGAUCUCACAGAGGUGAAGUGGCCUUCUUCUCGCAUCGUGUCGGGGUGCUUUCUGCCAACACAGCUUCUCACUGUGAUAGUAACCCCGAUCACUUGGUGAAGGCGGCGUUUGCAAAGUUUCUGCGGUACAAUUACUACUUCCCCCUUUUCAUACUCUGUUCUUUGGAGGCAAGAACUGAGUCCAGCCCGUGCUUGAGGACGUAGGAGGUGAAGCUUCAUGUUGUGGACAGGGAGUAGUUGCUUAAGUGAUUUGGAAUAUUCUGCAAGGAAUAUUGGCCUCUUCCCUGCCAUUUUAAAAUUUGAGCCAUCAUUUAUUUAUAUCACCGGGGUAGGCGGAAUAUCAGCCCCUCCAAAGAUGGCCACGGCCUAAUCCCUGGAGGCUGUAAGUUUGUUACCUUACACAGCAAAAGGGAUUUUACAGGUGGGACUGAGUUAGGGAUCUUGAAAUGGGAGGUUAUCCUGG
This is a long non-coding RNA of Aethalodelphis obliquidens (Pacific white-sided dolphin), 3317 nucleotides long. RefSeq lists it as uncharacterized. The transcript is spliced from 3 exons. The record is from RefSeq and is a predicted model, not a curated record. NCBI's taxonomy places the organism in Eukaryota, Metazoa, Chordata, Mammalia, Artiodactyla, Delphinidae.